RNAcentral lists this ribosomal RNA (416 nucleotides) under Arthrobacter sp. 049-3.1-LH-A-14. RNAcentral's name for it is "bacterial SSU rRNA". It matches the Rfam family "Bacterial small subunit ribosomal RNA", at positions 1 to 429 of the family's 1533-position model. Lineage: Bacteria; Bacillati; Actinomycetota; Actinomycetes; Micrococcales; Micrococcaceae. The record is from RNAcentral.
GGUGAGAUUGAUCCGGCCCAGGACGAACGCGGCGGCGUGCUAACACAUCAAGCGAACGAUGAUCCGGGCUGCACCGGGGAUUAGUGGCGAACGGGUGAGUAACACGUGAGUAACCUGCCCUUGACUCUGGGAUAAGCCUGGGAAACCGGGUCUAAUACCGGAUACGACCUUUCACCGCAUGGUGGUUGGUGGAAAGACUUUUUGGUUAUGGAUGGACUCGCGGCCUAUCAGCUUGUUGGUGAGGUAAUGGCUCACCAAGGCGACGACGGGUAGCCGGCCUGAGAGGGUGACCGGCCACACUGGGACUGAGACACGGCCCAGACUCCUACGGGAGGCAGCAGUGGGGAAGAUUGCACAAGGGGCGAAAGCCUGAUGCAGCGACGCCGCGUGAGGGAUGACGGCCAUCGGGUUGUAAA